GAGUGGCCUGAAUGCAAUGGUGUUUACAACUAAUUAAUGACAACCAGUUACAGAUUUGUUUGCUCCUUCUCCAUUCCCACUGCUUUUCACUUGACUAGCCUAAA
Molecule: unclassified non-coding RNA, 104 nt
Organism: Cercocebus atys (sooty mangabey)
Lineage: Eukaryota; Metazoa; Chordata; Mammalia; Primates; Cercopithecidae
Rfam family: Y RNA
About the family: Y RNAs are components of the Ro ribonucleoprotein particle (Ro RNP), in association with Ro60 and La proteins. The Y RNAs and Ro60 and La proteins are well conserved, but the function of the Ro RNP is not known. In humans the RNA component can be one of four small RNAs -- hY1, hY3, hY4 and hY5.
Source: Ensembl